RNAcentral lists this unclassified non-coding RNA (247 nucleotides) under Hevea brasiliensis (rubber tree). The record is from RNAcentral. Lineage: Eukaryota; Viridiplantae; Streptophyta; Magnoliopsida; Malpighiales; Euphorbiaceae.
GAUGCCUUUGCUAGUUACCAAAGUACAUGUUAAUCAUAGGUGUUAGUAGUGACUGUCUACUGUAAUCAUACAGGAUAAUAUGAUAUAUAGAAUAUAUUCAUAAUUUAAAGAAUAUUCAGAAAGAAAGGUUCAUUUUGCUAAAUAUUACAAAAUCUUUAUUUUUUUAAUCUUCAUGUCAAACUUCUGGAAUCUAUGGGUUUUUACCGAUGUACCUCUUAAAUGUCAUUUGUAAAUUCUUGCAUGUUUG